This 87-nucleotide transfer RNA is filed under the name Parvibaculaceae bacterium. RNAcentral's name for it is "tRNA-Leu". It matches the Rfam family "tRNA". Rfam says of the family: Transfer RNA (tRNA) molecules are approximately 80 nucleotides in length. The record is from RNAcentral. Lineage: Bacteria; Pseudomonadati; Pseudomonadota; Alphaproteobacteria; Hyphomicrobiales; Parvibaculaceae.
GCGGGUGUGGUGGAAUUGGUAGACGCGCUGGACUCAAAAUCCAGUUCUGGUGACAGAGUGCCGGUUCGACCCCGGCCACCCGCACCA